CUCUGGAUAAAAUAAAACUUAAAGCAACAAGGGCGAGGGAACUCUAUAAAAAUAACAGGAAUCACAAGUAAAACUACUAGUCGUCUGCAUCUUCUAACUGAAUCUUCGAACCUGUGUCACUGAAAGGGUGGAAGAUUUUGGGGUGAGAACAAACCACACGUUCUCAGUAGGGAAUGGGAAUGCCGUAAAAGUAAUGAAUUUAAUGCAAAUAAUUAACUUUACUCAAUAAAACUAUUUUGUUAACCCUUUGGAAAUACUUUUAUUUCUACUUUAGAUAAAUAAUUACUUUUCUUUAAAUUUCUAAACUCAAAACAAAUUUUAAAUAUAAAACUAGUCACAUUUUCUGUCUCUCAGCCACAUAGUUAAUCCUCAGUCAAAUGUCAACUUGUAAUCACUUUAGUAUACUCACAAACAAUUAGUGCAAGCAAGAGAUUCAAUUCAAUGUACAAGCAAGUCACCACAAGACAAACAAUACAAUCACAAAGUAAUAAAACAGGCAAGCGCAAUCAAAUGCAAAUGCGCAAUCAAUAUGAUGCAUGUCUAUCCCUAACGCAGGCCAUGAGCUCAUGUGUCGGUUGCCUACCCGCUCCCGACAUUA
Molecule: long non-coding RNA, 598 nt
Filed under: Arachis ipaensis
Lineage: Eukaryota; Viridiplantae; Streptophyta; Magnoliopsida; Fabales; Fabaceae
Description: long non-coding RNA (AIPA_LNC001258)
Source: RNAcentral